GACGAACGCUGGCGGCGGGCUUAACACAUGCAAGUCGAACGGAAAGGCCCUGAGAGUUUGGGGUUCUCGAGUGGCGAACGGGGGAGUGACACGUGAGUAACCGGACCUAGACUUUGGGAUAACUUCAGGAAACUGGGGCUAAUACCAUAUAGCAGCCCCUGCUGCAGGGUGAGCGUGGGAAAGUUGCGGCGGGCGGGGAUGGACGCGCGGCUGAUGAGCUUGUUGGUUGGGUAGUGGCUUACCCAGGCUUGGACGGGUAGCCGGCCUGAGAGGGUGACCGGCCACAUUGGGACUGCGGUACGGACCAGACGGCUACGGGAGGCAGUAGUGGGGAAUAUUGCACAAUGGGCGGAAGCCUGAUGCAGCAACGCUGCGUGCGGGAUGACGGCUUUCGGGUUGUAAACCGCUUUAGGCUGUGACGAAGCGUGAGUGACGGUAAUGGGUAAAGAAGCACCGGCUAACUACGUG
This 468-nucleotide ribosomal RNA is filed under the name uncultured bacterium. RNAcentral's name for it is "partial 16S ribosomal RNA". It matches the Rfam family "Bacterial small subunit ribosomal RNA", at positions 28 to 507 of the family's 1533-position model. The record is from RNAcentral.